RNAcentral lists this ribosomal RNA (635 nucleotides) under uncultured bacterium. Its description in RNAcentral is "bacterial SSU rRNA". It matches the Rfam family "Bacterial small subunit ribosomal RNA", at positions 215 to 842 of the family's 1533-position model. The record is from RNAcentral.
CUGCUUUUAGAUGAGUCUGCGUCUGAUUAGCUAGAUGGUGGGGUAACGGCUUACCAUGGCGACGAUCAGUAGUCGGCCUGAGAGGGUGACCGGCCACAUUGGGACUGAGACACGGCCCAAACUCCUACGGGAGGCAGCAGUGGGGAAUCUUCCGCAAUGGGCGAAAGCCUGACGGAGCAACGCCGCGUGAUCGAAUGAAGGCCUUCGGGUUGUAAAGAUCUGUUGACAGGGACGAAUAAGCAAUGCGAAUAGUUUUGUGUAUGACGGUACCUGUUUAGAAAGCUCCGGCUAACUACGUGCCAGCAGCCGCGGUAAUACGUAGGGAGCAAGCGUUGUCCGGAAUUACUGGGCGUAAAGGGCGCGUAGGUGGGCGCUUAAGUCAGGUGUGAAAACUCCGGGCUCAACCUGGAGACUGCACUUGAAACUGGGUGUCUUGAGGGCAGGAGAGGAAAGUGGAAUUCCUAGUGUAGCGGUGAAAUGCGUAGAUAUUAGGAGGAACACCAGUGGCGAAGGCGACUUUCUGGACUGUACCUGACGCUGAGGCGCGAAAGCGUGGGUAGCGAACGGGAUUAGAUACCCCGGUAGUCCACGCCGUAAACGAUGAAUACUAGGUGUAGGAGGUAUCGACUCCUUCU